CACGCUGUAAACGAUGAAUACUAGGUGUAGGGGGUGUAAACUCCCCCUGUGCCGCAGCUAACGCAAUAAGUAUUCCGCCUGGGGAGUACGGCCGCAAGGUUGAAACUCAAAGGAAUUGAC
RNAcentral lists this ribosomal RNA (120 nucleotides) under uncultured bacterium. Its description in RNAcentral is "partial 16S ribosomal RNA". It matches the Rfam family "Bacterial small subunit ribosomal RNA", at positions 796 to 914 of the family's 1533-position model. The record is from RNAcentral.